RNAcentral lists this ribosomal RNA (534 nucleotides) under Anolis kunayalae. RNAcentral describes it as "partial 16S ribosomal RNA". It matches the Rfam family "Bacterial large subunit ribosomal RNA", at positions 1812 to 2597 of the family's 2925-position model. The record is from RNAcentral. Lineage: Eukaryota; Metazoa; Chordata; Lepidosauria; Squamata; Anolidae.
AACAUAGCCUUUAGCCACUUACAAGUAUUAAAGGUGACGCCUGCCCAGUGAAAAAUUUAAACGGCCGCGGUAUCCUAACCGUGCAAAGGUAGCGUAAUCACUUGUCUUCUAAAUAAAGACCAGUAUGAACGGCUAAAUGAGGAUAAACCUGUCUCCUUUAACUAAUCAGUGAAACUGAUCUUCCAGUACAAAAGCUGGAAUAAAACUACAAGACGAGAAGACCCUGUGGAGCUUUAAAUUAAUACAAAAUACACCCCUACAAAUAUUUAUGAUAAAAAAUUUUAAGUUGGGGCGACUGCGGAAAAAAACCAAACUUCCAAGCAUAAAAGAUAUUAUCUUAAUCUAGGUUAACCAACCAAAACAAAUAUUGACCCAGUAGAACUGAGUAGCGAACCAAGUUACCCCAGGGAUAACAGCGCUAUCUUCUUCAAGAGUCCCUAUCAACAAGAAGGUUUACGACCUCGAUGUUGGAUCAGGACACCCAAAUGGUGCAGCCGCUAUUAAAGGUUCGUUUGUUCAACGAUUAACAGUCCU